This 252-nucleotide ribosomal RNA is filed under the name uncultured bacterium. RNAcentral's name for it is "partial 16S ribosomal RNA". It matches the Rfam family "Bacterial small subunit ribosomal RNA", at positions 524 to 776 of the family's 1533-position model. The record is from RNAcentral.
UACAGAGGUCCCAAGCGUUGUUCGGAUUCACUGGGCGUAAAGGGUGCGUAGGCGGUCGGGUAAGUCUGAUGUGAAAUCUCCAAGCCUAACUUGGAAACUGCAUUGGAUACUAUCCGGCUAGAGGAAUGGAGGGGAGACUGGAAUACUUGGUGUAGCAGUGAAAUGCGUAGAUAUCAAGUGGAACACCAGUGGCGAAGGCGAGUCUCUGGACAUUUCCUGACGCUGAGGCACGAAAGCCAGGGAGCAAACGGG